GACGAACGCUGGCGGCGUGCUUAACACAUGCAAGUCGAACGAAGUGGCGAACGGGUGAGUAAUACGUGAGUAACCUGCCCUCCUUUUUGGGAUAAGCCUUGGAAACGGGGUCUAAUACCGGAUAAAGGGUGAUGGGCUCGCGGCCUAUCGGCUUGUUGGUGGGGUGAUGGCCUACCAAGGGGGUGACGGGUACCAGGCCUGAGAGGGUGACUGGCCACGUUGGGACUGAGAGACGGCGCAGACUCGUAGGGGGGGCGACAGUGGGGGAUUUGGCAAAAUGGGGGAGAGGCUGCGGCGGCUAAGCGACGUGGGGGUUGAAGGCUUUAGGGUUGUAUACCUGUGUCGAUAUCGAACGGGUAGGUGGAGAAGAAGCGACGGCUAACUACGUGCCAGCAGCCGCGGUAAUAC
Molecule: ribosomal RNA, 408 nt
Filed under: uncultured bacterium
Lineage: Bacteria
Description: partial 16S ribosomal RNA
Rfam family: Bacterial small subunit ribosomal RNA
Source: RNAcentral